UGCCAGCCGCCGCGGUAAUACGGAGGGUGCAAGCGUUAUCCGGAAUCACUGGGUUUAAAGGGUGCGUAGGCGGCUUUGUAAGUCAGAUGUGAAAGCCCACCGCUUAACGGUGGAACUGCAUUUGAUACUGCAAGGCUUGAAUCAGGCUGAGGUCAGCGGAAUGUGUCAUGUAGCGGUGAAAUGCAUAGAUAUGACAUAGAACACCAAUUGCGAAGGCGGCUCACUGGCUCGAUACUGACGCUGAGACGCGAAAGCGUGGGGAGCAAACAGGAUUAGAUA
This 279-nucleotide ribosomal RNA is filed under the name uncultured bacterium. RNAcentral's name for it is "partial 16S ribosomal RNA". It matches the Rfam family "Bacterial small subunit ribosomal RNA", at positions 506 to 784 of the family's 1533-position model. The record is from RNAcentral.